Molecule: ribosomal RNA, 377 nt
Filed under: uncultured bacterium
Lineage: Bacteria
Description: bacterial SSU rRNA
Rfam family: Bacterial small subunit ribosomal RNA
Source: RNAcentral
UACGAAGGGUGCAAGCGUUAUUCGGAGUUACUGGGCGUAAAGAGUAUGUAGGCGGUUUGUUAAGUUAGUUGUUAAAGACCACGGCUCAACCGUGGAAAGGCAGCUGAUACUGAUGAGCUAGAGCGCAGAAGAGAGGAGUGGAAUUCCCGGAGUAGCGGUAAAAUGCGUAGAUCUCGGGAGGAACACCGGUUGCGAAGGCGGCUUCUUGGUCUGUGGCUGACGCUAAAGUACGAAAGCGUGGGGAGCAAACAGGAUUAGAUACCCUGGUAGUCCACGCUGUAAACGAUGAUCACUAGAUGUGGGUCGGGCAUAGCCUGAUCCGUGUCGAAGCUAACGCGUUAAGUGAUCCGCCUGGGAAGUACGGUCGCAAGAUUAAA